GAUGAACGCUGGCGGCGUGCUUAACACAUGCAAGUCGAACGAAGCACUCUAUUUGAUUUUCUUCGGAAAUGAAGAUUUUGUGACUGAGUGGCGGACGGGUGAGUAACGCGUGGGUAACCUGCCUCAUACAGGGGGAUAACAGUUGGAAACGACUGCUAAUACCGCAUAAGCGCACAGGAUUGCAUGAUCCGGUGUGAAAAACUCCGGUGGUAUGAGAUGGACCCGCGUCUGAUUAGCCAGUUGGCAGGGUAACGGCCUACCAAAGCGACGAUCAGUAGCCGACCUGAGAGGGUGACCGGCCACAUUGGGACUGAGACACGGCCCAAACUCCUACGGGAGGCAGCAGUGGGGAAUAUUGCACAAUGGGGGAAACCCUGAUGCAGCGACGCCGCGUGAGCGAAGAAGUAUUUCGGUAUGUAAAGCUCUAUCAGCAGGGAAGAAGAA
This 444-nucleotide ribosomal RNA is filed under the name uncultured bacterium. RNAcentral describes it as "bacterial SSU rRNA". It matches the Rfam family "Bacterial small subunit ribosomal RNA", at positions 28 to 452 of the family's 1533-position model. The record is from RNAcentral.